This 253-nucleotide ribosomal RNA is filed under the name uncultured bacterium. Its description in RNAcentral is "partial 16S ribosomal RNA". It matches the Rfam family "Bacterial small subunit ribosomal RNA", at positions 524 to 776 of the family's 1533-position model. The record is from RNAcentral.
UACGUAGGUGGCAAGCGUUGUCCGGAUCUACUGGGCGUAAAGAGCGCGCAGGCGGUCGGAUAAGUCGAAUGUGAAAGCCCCCGGCUCAACUGGGGAGGGUCAUUCGAUACUGUUCGACUCGAAGGCAGGAGAGGGAAGUGGAAUUCCCGGUGUAGUGGUGAAAUGCGUAGAUAUCGGGAGGAACACCAGUGGCGAAGGCGACUUCCUGGCCUGUUCUUGACGCUGAGGCGCGAAAGCUAGGGGAGCAAACGGG